ACGCACGCUGGCGGCGUGCUUAACACAUGCCAGUCGAACGGAAAGGCCCUGCUUUUGUGGGGUGCUCGAGUGGCGAACGGGUGAGUAACACGUGAGUAACCUGCCCUUGACUUUGGGAUAACUUCAGGAAACUGGGGCUAAUACCGGAUAGGAGCUCCUGCUGCAUGGUGGGGUUGGAAAGUUUCGGCGGUUGGGGAUGGACUCGCGGCUUAUCAGCUUGUUGGUGGGGUAGUGGCUUACCAAGGCUUUGACGGGUAGCCGGCCUGAGAGGGUGACCGGCCACAUUGGGACUGAGAUACGGCCCAGACUCCUACGGGAGGCAGCAGUGGGGAAUAUUGCACAAUGGGCGGAAGCCUGAUGCAGCAACGCCGCGUGCGGGAUGACGGCCUUCGGGUUGUAAACCGCUUUCGCCUGUGACGAAGCGUGAGUGACGGUAAUGGGUAAAGAAGCACCGGCUAACUACGUG
RNAcentral lists this ribosomal RNA (466 nucleotides) under uncultured bacterium. RNAcentral's name for it is "partial 16S ribosomal RNA". It matches the Rfam family "Bacterial small subunit ribosomal RNA", at positions 29 to 507 of the family's 1533-position model. The record is from RNAcentral.